CCUACGGGUGGCUGCAGUGGGGAAUAUUGCACAAUGGAGGAAACCCUGAUGCAGCGACGCCGCGUGAGUGAAGAAGUACUUCGUUAUGUAAAGCUCUAUCAUCAGGGAAGACAAUGACGGUACCUGAGUAAUACGCCCCGGCUACCUACGUACCAGCCGCCGCGGUCAUACGGAGGGGGCAAGCGUUAUCCGGGUUUACUGGGUGUAAAGGGAGCGGAGACGGCAGUGACAGUCUGGCUGUAAAGGCGGGGGCUCAACCCCCGGACUAGUCUGGAAACUGUAAGGCUGGAGUGCAGGAGAGGUAAGUGGAAUUCCUAGUGUAGCGGUGAAAUGCGUAGAUAUUAGGAGGAACACCAGUGGCGAAGGCGGCUUACUGGACUGUAACUGACGUUGAGGCUCGAAAGCGUGGGGAGCAAACAGGAUUAGAUACCCGAGUAGUC
Molecule: ribosomal RNA, 440 nt
Filed under: uncultured bacterium
Lineage: Bacteria
Description: partial 16S ribosomal RNA
Rfam family: Bacterial small subunit ribosomal RNA
Source: RNAcentral